RNAcentral lists this transfer RNA (75 nucleotides) under freshwater metagenome. RNAcentral's name for it is "tRNA-Arg". It matches the Rfam family "tRNA". Rfam says of the family: Transfer RNA (tRNA) molecules are approximately 80 nucleotides in length. Their secondary structure includes four short double-helical elements and three loops (D, anti-codon, and T loops). Further hydrogen bonds mediate the characteristic L-shaped molecular structure. tRNAs have two regions of fundamental functional importance: the anti-codon, which is responsible for specific mRNA codon recognition, and the 3' end, to which the tRNAs corresponding amino acid is attached (by aminoacyl-tRNA synthetases). tRNAs cope with the degeneracy of the genetic code in two manners: having more than one tRNA (with a specific anti-codon) for a particular amino acid; and 'wobble' base-pairing, i.e. permitting non-standard base-pairing at the 3rd anti-codon position. The record is from RNAcentral.
GCGCCCGUAGCUCAACGGAUAGAGCAUCUGACUACGGAUCAGAAGGUUAGGAGUUCGAAUCUCUUCGGGCGCACC